AUAAAAUAGCAUGUGAAGAGGCUUUAAGCACCAUAUGCUGAUGGGCCUGGGGAAGUCCAGACAGGCCCCUCCUGGGGUACUUGCUUCUGUUUCUCAGGUUGCAUUAUGGGCCCUUUUCCUCCUUUCACUUGGGCCUGGCCACCAACCUCCUUUAAUCCCAUGAUCUGUACCCUGCCCUGAGGUGUACUGGUUCCUUGUUGAGAAACUAAAGCUGGGAACAUGAUUGACUUAACCCUUCAGGUAUUGUUACUUAGGCAAGUCAAGUACCUGGCCUCACCCACCUAUGCUGUCCCUCUCCCAGCCUAACUGGUAUGGUAGUCUUGGCCAUGGAAACCUAGGCCUGCCCCUUUCCUCCUGACCCACCAGGGGUAUUCAUUGGCAGGAGCUGGAGCACAUGCCCCC
Long non-coding RNA from Myotis davidii, 402 nucleotides. RefSeq lists it as uncharacterized. The record is from RefSeq and is a predicted model, not a curated record. The transcript has 3 exons. NCBI's taxonomy places the organism in Eukaryota, Metazoa, Chordata, Mammalia, Chiroptera, Vespertilionidae.